UGGGGAAUAUUGCACAAUGGGCGCAAGCCUGAUGCAGCCAUGCCGCGUGUGUGAAGAAGGCCUUCGGGUUGUAAAGUACUUUCAGUCGGGAGGAAGGUGGUAAGGUUAAUAACCUUAUCAAUUGACGUUACCCGCAGAAGAAGCACCGGCUAACUCCGUGCCAGCAGCCGCGGUAAUACGGAGGGUGCAAGCGUUAAUCGGAAUUACUGGGCGUAAAGCGCACGCAGGCGGUCUGUCAAGUCGGAUGUGAAAUCCCCGGGCUCAACCUGGGAACUGCAUUCGAAACUGGCAGGCUAGAGUCUUGUAGAGGGGGGUAGAAUUCCAGGUGUAGCGGUGAAAUGCGUAGAGAUCUGGAGGAAUACCGGUGGCGAAGGCGGCCCCCUGGACAAAGACUGACGCUCAGGUGCGAAAGCGUGGGGAGCAAACAGG
Molecule: ribosomal RNA, 429 nt
Filed under: Chloroflexota bacterium
Lineage: Bacteria; Bacillati; Chloroflexota
Description: Chloroflexi bacterium partial 16S ribosomal RNA
Rfam family: Bacterial small subunit ribosomal RNA
Source: RNAcentral